This 618-nucleotide ribosomal RNA is filed under the name uncultured cyanobacterium. RNAcentral's name for it is "bacterial SSU rRNA". It matches the Rfam family "Bacterial small subunit ribosomal RNA", at positions 35 to 692 of the family's 1533-position model. The record is from RNAcentral. Lineage: Bacteria; Bacillati; Cyanobacteriota.
GCUGGCGGUAUGCCUAACACAUGCAAGUCGUACGAGAGUUUUUAACUCAAGUGGCGGACGGGUGAGUAACACGUGAGAAUCUACCUUUAGGAGGGGGAUAACAACUGGAAACGGUUGCUAAUACCCCAUAUGCUUUCGAGUGAAAUGGAUUUAUCCGCCUAGAGAGGAGCUCGCGGCUGAUUAGCUUGUUGGUAGGGUAAUGGCCUACCAAGGCGACGAUCAGUAUCUGGUUUGAGAGGACGAUCAGACACACUGGAACUGAGACACGGUCCAGACUCCUACGGGAGGCAGCAGUGGGGAAUUUUCCGCAAUGGGCGAAAGCCUGACGGAGCAAUACCGCGUGAGGGAAGACGGCCUAUGGGUUGUAAACCUCUUUUCUCAGGGAGGAACUCAAUGACGUGUACCUGAGGAAUAAGCAUCGGCUAACUCCGUGCCAGCAGCCGCGGUAAGACGGAGGAUGCAAGUGUUAUCCGGAAUCACUGGGCGUAAAGCGUCUGUAGGUGGUUUAAUAAGUCAACUGUUAAAUCUUGAAGCUCAACUUCAAAAUCGCAGUCGAAACUAUUAGACUAGAGUAUAGUAGGGGUAAAGGGAAUUUCCAGUGGAGCGGUGAAAUGCGUA